UGUGAGAGUGAUGAGUUGCACACUGGUGGAGCCAUGGUAUCAGGUGAUACAAGCCCCCACUCAGUAUUACUCUGUUGACAAAAUCAAGUGCACAGGGGCCAUCUGACUCACA
RNAcentral lists this small nucleolar RNA (112 nucleotides) under Dasypus novemcinctus (nine-banded armadillo). RNAcentral describes it as "Small nucleolar RNA SNORD67". It matches the Rfam family "Small nucleolar RNA SNORD67". From Rfam's summary of the family: snoRNA HBII-166 belongs to the C/D family of snoRNAs. The record is from Rfam by way of RNAcentral. Lineage: Eukaryota; Metazoa; Chordata; Mammalia; Cingulata; Dasypodidae.